AAGAGUCUUCAGGGCAGGGUGUGAGUCCCGACCGGCGGUGAAUUCUGACUAGGAAAUGAUAUUUUCCUUUUAUACUUUGUUGACGAGCUUUGCCUAACUCCAGUUAUGCCUUCAGCUUGUCGCCUCGUCUAAAAGAAAAAUCUCUAUUUCCUAGUGCUGAAACAAGUCCGCGAGCGCAAGCUGAUGUGGUGAGAUUCCACAACCGACAGUAUAGUCUGGAUGGGAGAAGACAGAG
This 235-nucleotide non-coding RNA is filed under the name Streptococcus sp. Its description in RNAcentral is "FMN sequence". It matches the Rfam family "FMN riboswitch aptamer (RFN element)". Rfam says of the family: The RFN element is a highly conserved domain that is found frequently in the 5'-untranslated regions of prokaryotic mRNAs that encode for flavin mononucleotide (FMN) biosynthesis and transport proteins. This element is a metabolite-dependent riboswitch that directly binds FMN in the absence of proteins. Lineage: Bacteria; Bacillati; Bacillota; Bacilli; Lactobacillales; Streptococcaceae. The record is from RNAcentral.